CCCCAGGUCAGGCGGGACUACCCGCUGAGUUUAAGCAUAUCAAUAAGCGGAGGAAAAGAAACUUACGAGGAUUCCCCUAGUAACGGCGAGCGAACCGGGAACAGCCCAGCUUGAAAAUCGGGCGGGU
Molecule: ribosomal RNA, 127 nt
Filed under: Buxus sinica
Lineage: Eukaryota; Viridiplantae; Streptophyta; Magnoliopsida; Buxales; Buxaceae
Description: partial 26S ribosomal RNA
Rfam family: Eukaryotic large subunit ribosomal RNA
Source: RNAcentral